GGUCCCAUAACUCAGUUGGUUAGAGUGUCGUACUAAUAUUAUAGCUUGUUUAUAAAAUUAGUAAUGCGAAAGUCGUGAGUUCGACCCUCACUGGGACCA
Molecule: non-coding RNA, 99 nt
Organism: Ustulina deusta
Lineage: Eukaryota; Fungi; Ascomycota; Sordariomycetes; Xylariales; Xylariaceae
Source: the annotation of a GenBank genome assembly